RNAcentral lists this ribosomal RNA (468 nucleotides) under uncultured bacterium. RNAcentral describes it as "partial 16S ribosomal RNA". It matches the Rfam family "Bacterial small subunit ribosomal RNA", at positions 28 to 507 of the family's 1533-position model. The record is from RNAcentral.
GACGAACGCUGGCGGCGUGCUUAACACAUGCAGGUCGAACGGAAAGGCCCUGCUUUUGUGGGGUGCUCGAGUGGCGAACGGGUGAGUAACACGUGAGUAACCUGCCCUUGACUUUGGGAUAACUUCAGGAAACUGGGGCUAAUACCGGAUAGGAGCUCCUGCUGCAUGGUGGGGGUUGGAAAGUUUCGGCGGUUGGGGAUGGACUCGCGGCUUAUCAGCUUGUUGGUGGGGUAGUGGCUUACCAAGGCUUUGACGGGUAGCCGGCCUGAGAGGGUGACCGGCCACAUUGGUACUGAGAUACGGCCCAGACUCCUACGGGAGGCAGCAGUGGGGAAUAUUGCACAAUGGGCGGAAGCCUGAUGCAGCAACGCCGCGUGCGGGAUGACGGCCUUCGGGUUGUAAACCGCUUUCGCCUGUGACGAAGCGUGAGUGACGGUAAUGGGUAAAGAAGCACCGGCUAACUACGUG